Molecule: unclassified non-coding RNA, 250 nt
Filed under: plant metagenome
Description: partial contains small subunit ribosomal RNA, internal transcribed spacer 1, and 5.8S ribosomal RNA
Rfam family: 5.8S ribosomal RNA (bases 201-250)
Source: RNAcentral
GUAGGUGAACCUGCGGAAGGAUCAUUACCGAGUGAGGGCCCUCUGGGUCCAACCUCCCACCCGUGUUUAUUGUACCUUGUUGCUUCGGUGGGCCCGCCUCACGGCCGCCGGGGGGCAUCUGCUCCCGGGCCCGCGCCCACCGAAGACACCUAGAACUCUGUCUGAAGAUUGAAGUCUGAGUGAAAUUAUAAAUUAUUUAAAACUUUCAACAACGGAUCUCUUGGUUCCGGCAUCGAUGAAGAACGCAGCA